RNAcentral lists this ribosomal RNA (1286 nucleotides) under termite gut metagenome. RNAcentral's name for it is "bacterial SSU rRNA". It matches the Rfam family "Bacterial small subunit ribosomal RNA", at positions 8 to 1244 of the family's 1533-position model. The record is from RNAcentral.
AGAGUUUGAUCCUGGCUCAGGAUAAACGCUAGCGGCAGGCCUAACACAUGCAAGUCGAGGGGCAGCACGACGUAGCAAUACGUUGGUGGCGACCGGCGGACGGGUGCGCAUCGCGUGAGCAACCUACCUCUUUCAGGGGGAUAACCCGGCGAAAGCCGGACUAAGACCGCAUGUUUUGCUUUGGGGGCAUCUUCGGAGCAACAAAUAUUUAUAGGGAAGAGAUGGGCUCGCGUCCCAUUAGCUAGUUGGUGGUGUAACGGACCACCAAGGCGACGAUGGGUAGGGGUUCUGAGAGGAUUCACCCCCACACCGGAACUGAGACACGGUCCGGACUCCUACGGGAGGCAGCAGUGAGGAAUAUUGGACAAUGGGCGGAAGCCUGAUCCAGCCAUGCCGCGUGCAGGAUGACGGCGCUAUGCGUUGUAAACUGCUUUUGUUCGGGAACAAUGGCGCCUACGCGUAGGCGUUUGAGUGUACCGUUCGAAUCAGCACCGGCUAACUCCGUGCCAGCAGCCGCGGUAAUACGGAGGGUGCAAGCGUUAUCCGGAUUUAUUGGGUUUAAAGGGUGCGCAGGCGGUCUUCUAAGUCAGCGGUGAAAUUUUCCGGCUCAACCGGGACAGCGCCGUUGAUACUGGAGGACUUGAGCGCGAGCGAGGCUGGCGGAAUGCGCGGUGUAGCGGUGAAAUGCUUAGAUAUCGCGCAGAACUCCGAUUGCGAAGGCAGCCGGCCAGCUCGCCGCUGACGCUCAGGCACGACAGCGUGGGGAUCGAACAGGAUUAGAUACCCUGGUAGUCCACGCCGUAAACGAUGAGCGCUCGCUGCUCGGGGGUUUACCUCCUGAGCGGCCAAGAGAAAUCGUUAAGCGCUCCACCUGGGGAGUACGUGCGCAAGCAUGAAACUCAAAGGAAUUGACGGGGGCCCGCACAAGCGGAGGAACAUGUGGUUUAAUUCGAUGAUACGCGAGCGCACAAGCGGAGGAACAUGUGGUUUAAUUCGAUGAUACGCGAGGAACCUUACCCGGGCUUGAAAUGGAGACGAAUAACUUGGAAACAGGUUAGCCAGCAAUGGCGUCUUUGUAGGUGCUGCAUGGUUGUCGUCAGCUCGUGCCGUGAGGUGUCGGCUUAAGUGCCACAACGAGCGCAACCCCUGCCGCCGGUUGCCAGCGCGUAAAGGCGGGGACUUCGGCGGGACUGCCACCGUAAGGUGCGAGGAAGGUGGGGAUGACGUCAAAUCAGCACGGCCCUUACGUCCGGGGCGACACACGUGUUACAAUGGGGGGUACAGAG